This 124-nucleotide ribosomal RNA is filed under the name Mycobacterium tuberculosis. Its description in RNAcentral is "partial 16S ribosomal RNA". It matches the Rfam family "Bacterial small subunit ribosomal RNA", at positions 1 to 121 of the family's 1533-position model. Lineage: Bacteria; Bacillati; Actinomycetota; Actinomycetes; Mycobacteriales; Mycobacteriaceae. The record is from RNAcentral.
UAAUUGAAGAGUUUGAUCAUGGCUCAGAUUGAACGCUGGCGGCAGGCUUAACACAUGCAAGUCGAACGAUGCCCACACCAAUCAACACACCCGCAUGGUGGAGGACGGGUGAGUAACAUUUCGG